UGGGGAAUAUUGCACAAUGGGCGCAAGCCUGAUGCAGCCAUGCCGCGUGUGUGAAGAAGGCCUUCGGGUUGUAAAGCACUUUCAGCGAGGAGGAAGGUGGUGAGCUUAAUACGCUCAUCAAUUGACGUUACUCGCAGAAGAAGCACCGGCUAACUCCGUGCCAGCAGCCGCGGUAAUACGGAGGGUGCAAGCGUUAAUCGGAAUUACUGGGCGUAAAGCGCACGCAGGCGGUUUGUUAAGUCAGAUGUGAAAUCCCCGGGCUCAACCUGGGAACUGCAUUUGAAACUGGCAAGCUAGAGUCUCGUAGAGGGGGGUAGAAUUCCAGGUGUAGCGGUGAAAUGCGUAGAGAUCUGGAGGAAUACCGGUGGCGAAGGCGGCCCCCUGGACGAAGACUGACGCUCAGGUGCGAAAGCGUGGGGCAGCAAACAGGAUUAGAUACCCUGGUAGUCCACGCUGUAAAACGAUGUCGAUUUUGGAGGUUGUGCCCUUGAGGCGUGGCUUCCGGAGCUAACGCGUUAAAUCGACCGCCUGGGGAGUACGGCCGCAAGGUUAAAACUCAAAUGAAUUGACGGGGUCAUAGCUGUUCCU
Molecule: ribosomal RNA, 588 nt
Filed under: uncultured bacterium
Lineage: Bacteria
Description: partial 16S ribosomal RNA
Rfam family: Bacterial small subunit ribosomal RNA
Source: RNAcentral